AUUGAACGCUGGCGGCAGGCCUAACACAUGCAAGUCGAACGCAGUGGGGACGGGUGAGUAACACGUGGGUAACCUCCCAUCAGAGGGGAAAACACUUGGAAACAGGUGCUAAAACGAUACUGAUGGAUGCACCCGCGGUGCAUUAGCUAGUUGGUGAGGUAACGGCUCACCAAGGCCACGAUGCAUCGCCGUCCAGAGAGAGAUAUGGUGUACACUGGGACUGAGUCACGGCCCAUACGCCAACGUGAGACAGCAGUAGGGAAUCUUCGGCAAUGGACGAAAGUCUGACCGAGCAACUCCGCUUGAGUGAAGAAUGUUUUCGGAUCGUAAAACUAAGUUGUUAGAGAAGCGGUAUCUAACCAGAAAGCCACUGCUAACUACGUGCCAGCAGCCGCGGUAAUAC
RNAcentral lists this ribosomal RNA (403 nucleotides) under uncultured bacterium. RNAcentral's name for it is "partial 16S ribosomal RNA". It matches the Rfam family "Bacterial small subunit ribosomal RNA", at positions 30 to 526 of the family's 1533-position model. The record is from RNAcentral.